Molecule: ribosomal RNA, 410 nt
Filed under: Agrobacterium tumefaciens
Lineage: Bacteria; Pseudomonadati; Pseudomonadota; Alphaproteobacteria; Hyphomicrobiales; Rhizobiaceae
Description: bacterial SSU rRNA
Rfam family: Bacterial small subunit ribosomal RNA
Source: RNAcentral
UGGCUCAGAACGAACGCUGGCGGCAGGCUUAACACAUGCAAGUCGAACGCCCCGCAAGGGGAGUGGCAGACGGGUGAGUAACGCGUGGGAAUCUACCGUGCCCUGCGGAAUAGCUCCGGGAAACUGGAAUUAAUACCGCAUACGCCCUACGGGGGAAAGAUUUAUCGGGGUAUGAUGAGCCCGCGUUGGAUUAGCUAGUUGGUGGGGUAAAGGCCUACCAAGGCGACGAUCCAUAGCUGGUCUGAGAGGAUGAUCAGCCACAUUGGGACUGAGACACGGCCCAAACUCCUACGGGAGGCAGCAGUGGGGAAUAUUGGACAAUGGGCGCAAGCCUGAUCCAGCCAUGCCGCGUGAGUGAUGAAGGCCUUAGGGUUGUAAAGCUCUUUCACCGGAGAAGAUAAUGACGGUAU